This 464-nucleotide ribosomal RNA is filed under the name uncultured bacterium. Its description in RNAcentral is "partial 16S ribosomal RNA". It matches the Rfam family "Bacterial small subunit ribosomal RNA", at positions 28 to 506 of the family's 1533-position model. The record is from RNAcentral.
GACGAACGCUGGCGGCGUGCUUAACACAUGCAAGUCGAACGGUAAGGCUCCAGCUUGCUGGGGUACACGAGUGGCGAACGGGUGAGUAACACGUGGGUGACCUGCCCUGCACUUCGGGAUAAGCCUGGGAAACUGGGUCUAAUACCGGAUAGGACCGCACCGUGAGGGUGUGGUGGAAAGUUUUUUCGGUGUGGGAUGGGCCCGCGGCCUAUCAGCUUGUUGGUGGGGUAAUGGCCUACCAAGGCGGCGACGGGUAGCCGGCCUGAGAGGGUGGACGGCCAAAGUGGGACAGGGGAAGCGCCAAGACCCCAAGGGGAGGAAGGGGGGGGGAAAAGAGCAAAAGGGGCGGAAGCAGGAUGCAGGGACGCCGGGGGGGGGAAGACGGCCUUGGGGUUGGAAAACCCUUUCACCAACGAAGAAGGGUUUCGGAGGGAAAAGGGAAAAAAAGCACCGGUAAAUUAAGG